UACAGCACAGAAGUGUUUAAUCAAUCACAGCUGUACACCACAACCCUGUUCAGCCAUUCCCCAAUUAAUGGGGAUCCUUGCAAUUUCCAAUUCUUGGUCAUCACAAAGAAAGAAAGCAGCUAUCAACAUCCCAUUCACAUUUCAAGUUAUAAUUACUAUUUGUGAAUUUCUGGCUCCAAAUGCCUAUCUUUUAAACAAAAUUUGACCCUACACGUUGUCCCAAUUUUUUCCCUUUUAGACCCAGAGAAGUAAUCUAUGCUUGUUACUUCUACUUACUCAGUCUGUAAUUACAGUGUGGGUUCUAUUCCUAUAUAAAAGUAUUAACUUCUCCAAAAGGGGGAAAAAAGUAUUAUUUUUCAAUGCUUAUUCUGCUUGACCUCUAACUUUUUCUGGGUUUUUUUUGUUUGUUUGUUUUUUGUGGGUGUGUAUAUAUAUAUAUAUAUAUAUAUUCCUUGGGUUUUGUUUGCUUUCUCCUUGUUCUCCUCCUAACUCUGUGACUGACUUCAUUUGCCUCUGGUGUAUCAUCCACUUUAUAUUCCCAAAGUUCUUGGGCCUUUGUGAUCUUCUCUGUUCACACAACUCAUCUUCUCCAUUUCCCACUUUUUUUUUUUUGACAGCUACAUUUGAAUCUCUAAAGCAUCUCAAGAAUUAUCCUCAAUUGAACUCAUCUUUACCCACUACAACUUGUACUUGCAAACUUUGUUUCAGUUGAUGUCAAUUCAUGGUUGAGUCUCUUAGACUAAAACUUGAGGGAAGCCCAUACUCUAUCUCAUCCUAGUUAACUCCACAUCCAGUCCCUUUUAUCCGUGCACAUGAUCAUUACCUUGGUUUUAGGGUCUCACUACCUACCUAGCUUAUUGCAAUUACCCAACUGGUUUCCUUGUGGUCAGUUUCUUUUCCAGUCCAUUCUUCAUGUAUUUUCUUUCCCAUGGCUGAGAAAACUAAAGUAAAACCUGUCAUGGCCAGGAAUUAUGUUAUAAUUGGUCUUUGCAUUUCCAGCAUGUGGCACACUUCCUUGCACAGUAUUUAAUAUUUAUUAAAUGGUGAAUCCCUUUUCCUCCAUAUAUUCAGUGUUCUAGGUAGGCUGAACUCCCUUCAGUCUCCUAAAUGUGCCAUGGAUUAUAAGAAAAUAAGUUUAGAGCUCAGAGAGACCUCAGAAAAUGUAUAGAAAAGUUUGGUUUUCUAGAAAAGGGAACUGCUCAAAGUCAAAUUGUAUUGAGAAUGAGGAGUUAAGCCCUGAUAUUAUGAUUCCAAAUUCCUUUAUAGUAGUGCCUGCGGGUUAUAUUUUUUCAAAGUCUUUGCCAAUAGCAUUGUCUCUCUUUGCUUAAAAUAUCCUCUUUUUAGACUGGAAUCAAAUGGAGCCCAUCUUUCUCCUCCCCCCCAGCUAGACUACAACCGCUUUUCCUUUGCUUUUUUAAAAAGAAAAUUUCUUUUCAGGUGAAAGUGACUUCAUUUAGGGGUGAAACUGGAUGUGGAUGACUUCUCUUCCCCCCCUCCCUCACUCUAAAUUUGUGAUUCUGUGAUAAGUCAUUGUAAAGCGCUUAACACAAGUGUCUGGCACAGAGUCAAGAUGUAUCAGUGCUUAUUCAAAUCCUCCCAUUUGAUACUUUUGGUGACCUGGCUUUAGGGAACAUUCUUUUAAGGGGAGAAAAAAAAAAGCAACAUAUGGGUAAUUGUUGGGAAUAGUUUUGUGUCAAAUAUUUCUGUAAAGUAAAAAUUUAAUAAAUUGUAUUUUCUGGCUA
Molecule: long non-coding RNA, 1742 nt
Filed under: Sarcophilus harrisii (Tasmanian devil)
Lineage: Eukaryota; Metazoa; Chordata; Mammalia; Dasyuromorphia; Dasyuridae
Description: lncRNA (ENSSHAG00000027470.1)
Source: RNAcentral